Molecule: long non-coding RNA, 1123 nt
Organism: Orbicella faveolata
Lineage: Eukaryota; Metazoa; Cnidaria; Anthozoa; Scleractinia; Merulinidae
Source: RefSeq, a predicted model, not a curated record
AAGUCAAUAAGCUAGGUGCAUGUUUGAAACAAUUGUGACAUGUUCUUCCUACGCCUUGUAGAUAUACUGAAUUGAGGCACUAUAUGCAUUCUUCAGUUAGAACACACAAUCUCUAGGGUGAUCGAGCUAGGUUCUUUGUCACUAAAUAAAAGACGAGCAAGCAAUCUUUUGUUACAGGCACACGCCCUAUAUUAUUAUCAACUUUCCUAUACUGUCUGCAAGGAUUUCUUUAAUUGUUUUAAUUUUUGUCUGGUUUAUUAUUUUAGAUUUUGCUGGCAGAUCGACGGAAUACUCUGUUACUGUACCUUCUUCAUGUAUUGGUGGUGUAAAGUUCCAUUCAGACUUUGAUUAGUUUUGGGAGUUAAAGUUUUGAUUCAACUCUUAGAUUGGAAUGCUUCGUGACAAUACACCGGCCUUCCUCACACCUUAAGAUUUGUUUUGUUUUUGAUACAACUUCCGCGAAACGGCAAAAACUACACAGCUGAGACAUCACUUUCAUGUUAAAAAUGCUAUUUCAAGCGACCAUGCAAACGAAACCAAAAUUUUAAUUUUCGACUGCAGAUCAGUUGAGAUUAAAGUUUACUGGAUUUGGCAUAAUCAAAUCAAAAGAAGUGACCAAAAUAUUUUAGGGAAACUUAGAAUCAACAAUCAACAGAAUACCUGAUACGUUUCGUCUCAAAAUUAUCUUGGCCAAUCAAGGAAGACAAAAUAAAAGAGUAGGACUGAGUUGAUUGGUUAAAUAACACAAUCCUCUUUGCAUUUAGGAGCCAUCCAAUCAGAUUCUUGGAAGGGGAAGAUAAGCUACCAUCGGUGAAUUUAUUUUCCAUUGCUUGAAACUAACUUAUAAACGAUGCUUUCCCCACAAAACAGAAAAGUAAGGGAAUUUUCAAGCCUGGUAGAGUGGAAUACAGAACUGAAGACCUCUUAUGAAGAUGACAACACAAAGUCCUUUAAGAUGGUUCAAAUGAGGAGUAAUGGUUCUAAGGAAUAUGCUGUAGUCCUGAAGAGGAACAUUCUCUCCUACAUUGUAAACUUGUGACUGUCUUUCAGACAUCAUUCCUAGUGCCAUGUGCCACUGACCGAAGUAAACUGGUCGUGGACUUCGAGAUGUAUCCAUGUAAUG